CCCGCUUACACCGGAUAAAUCUCUGUGAAACCCAGAUUAUUGUGAGCCAACCUUCUAGCCCAAAUCUUCUCAAUAUUAUCCACUUAACUUAAUCUACUAACUAAAACAUUUUUACAGCUUAGUAAAGGAGAUUAAAAAACUUUUAAGAGCUACAAAAAGAGUACCGCAAGGGAAAGAUGAAAUAAAAAUGAAACAAAUUUUAAGCAAAAAACAGUAAAGGCAAACCCUUGUACCUUUUGCAUCAUGGUUUAACUAGUCAAAUCAAGCGAAAAGAUCUUUAGUUUGACUUCCCGAAACUAAACGAGCUACUUUGAGGCAGCUUACUGAGCCAACCCGUCUCUGUUGUAAAAGAGUGGGAAGACCUCUAAGUAGGGGUGACAGACCUACCGAGUUUAGUGAUAGCUGGUUGCUUAAGAAAAGAAUAUAAGUCCUCACUAAAUUGACCUCCAUACAAAAAAAUUUUACUUUCAAUUUAGCUUUAUUCAAGUAAGGUACAGCCUGCUUGAAAAAGGAUACAACCUCUACAUAUGGGUAAUUUAUGCAUCAUCCACAACUAAGUGGGCCUAAAAGCAGCCACCUAAAUUAAUAGCGUCACAGCUUAAUUGUGUAUUAGCUAAAUUUUAUCUUCCAUGCAAAACCCUACACCUCUAUUAAGCAAUUCCAUAAAGUUAUGGAAAAUUUUAUGUUAAAACUAGUAACAAGAAGCCAUACUUCUCUUUAAUGCAAAUUCACAUCAGUCUGGACCAACCACUGAUAAAUAACACCCAUAACCCUACAGUAAUAACGUAACAAGAAAACUUUACUUUUUUCAGUGUUAACCUAAUACAAGAGCAUUUCAAGAAAGAUUAAAAGAAAAAGAAGGAACUCGGCAAACAUUGACCCCGCCUGUUUACCAAAAACAUCGCCUCUUGCCCGAUAUAAGAGGUCCAGCCUGCCCAGUGACAUUGUUCAACGGCCGCGGUAUCCUAACCGUGCGAAGGUAGCGUAAUCACUUGUUCUUUAAAUGAGGACUAGUAUGAAAGGCACCACGAGAGUCAUACUGUCUCCUUUCUCUAAUCAGUGAAACUAAUCUCCCCGUGAAGAAGCGGGAAUAAAAUUAUAAGACGAGAAGACCCUAUGGAGCUUAAAACAAAUAAUACUUGCCUACCUAACCCUUAAUUUCAGAAAAACCCCCUACUCUGGCAUUAUACUUAUUAGUUUUUGGUUGGGGUGACCACGGAACAAAAAAUAACCUCCGCAGUGAAAGACACUCCUCCACAAGUCAAGGACCACAAUCCUACACAUUAACAAAUUGACACCAAUUGACCCAAUAUGUUGAUCAAUGAACCAAGUUACCCUAGGGAUAACAGCGCAAUCUACUUCAAGAGCUCCUAUCGACAAGUAGGUUUACGACCUCGAUGUUGGAUCAGGGUAUCCUAGUGGUGCAGCCGCUACUAAAGGUUCGUUUGUUCAACGAUUAAAACCCU
This 1466-nucleotide ribosomal RNA is filed under the name Adenomera martinezi (Martinez's tropical bullfrog). RNAcentral's name for it is "partial 16S ribosomal RNA". It matches the Rfam family "Bacterial large subunit ribosomal RNA", at positions 376 to 2597 of the family's 2925-position model. The record is from RNAcentral. Lineage: Eukaryota; Metazoa; Chordata; Amphibia; Anura; Leptodactylidae.